UACGGGAGGAGCAGUGGGGAAUAUUGCACAAUGGGCGAAAGCCUGAUGCAGCUAUGCCGCGUGUAUGAAGAAGGCCUUAGGGUUGUAAAGUACUUUCAUCGGGGAGGAAAAAACAAAACUAAUAAUUUUAUUUCUUGACGUUACCCGAAAAAGAAGCACCGGCUAACUCCGUGCCAGCAGCCGCGGUAAUACGGAGGGUGCUAGCGUUAAUCAGAAUUACUGGGCGUAAAGAGCACGUAGGUGGUUUUUUAAGUUCAGAUGUGAAAUCCCUGGGCUUAAUCUAGGAACUGCAUUUUGAAACUGAAAUACUAGAGUAUCGUAGAGGGAGGUAGAAUUCUAGGUGUAGCGGUGAAAUGCGUAGAUAUCUGGAGGAAUCCUGUGGCGAAAGCGGCCUCCUAAACGAAUACUGACACUGAGGUGCGAAAGCGUGGGGAGCAAACAGGGAUUAGAUACC
Molecule: ribosomal RNA, 454 nt
Filed under: uncultured bacterium
Lineage: Bacteria
Description: bacterial SSU rRNA
Rfam family: Bacterial small subunit ribosomal RNA
Source: RNAcentral